UCACGAUCUCUAGCCCUUAACUUAGGUCCAUUUUUAAGAAUUCCCUGUAUAUAGAAUAUUUGACUCAUUAGGUUAAGGUGGUGGAUAAAAUUUAGGAAUAUUUAAGAUUUUUAGGGUUUAAGAGAUUUUUUUAUUGUUCAUUCUUUUUUUGUGAAAAAUUUUUACGAAGUUCCGCCGGAAUCCGGCGAGUUCACCGCUCAAAACCUGUUUCUUUUUUUCAAGCAACAAUUGGGAACCAGCUAGACCCAUCAUUAUCUUCCUUCCUCUCCUCCCUUUUCCGACCAGCCAUUCAACUACCAAAUCACUGUCAGAACCUACCUCAACACCAUUGCAACUCCAGAAGCGAACAUCAACCAGAACCCACCCAGAGACCAAAAGACCGAAAAACUCCAUUUCCAUUUUUCCCGUUUCUAGUCAGCAACUCACGCAACAUGUCCCUUCGCCUCUCCCCCUUAACGAUUUUCUUCCUUUUGCAGGUGCUCCGGCUAUCCAAAGCUAUGCCUCGUUGUUGUUCCGUUCUCUCUCCGGCGUGGUUUUAUUUCUAGUGAAGUAGUAACUGGCAUCUCUAGAUCCGAAAAACUUUUGUCCAUGUACGGCCUGGUUUUUGAGAUGUGCUUCAUUCUUGAUCAAAAGAUUGGAUUGGCUAUCCUCCACGCUUUCGGUGAUUCCUCAUGAUUCGAGGACAAGAGUUGUUUCAUUUCUGUAAUUCUAUUUUGAUUUUAGGAAAAGUCUUCGAUUGUAAGAAGUUUUAAUUCUCCAUCAUUUCUAAUACUUAUGUUUAUGAUAUGCUAAGAGCUUGUAUGAGACCCCUUCAGGGUCAAGUACAUUGUGUUACAUAUAGGGGUUACCCCUGGGUCGUGACAAACUUUGUAAUGAGAGCACAAGGUUUAGGAUGA
Long non-coding RNA from Solanum pennellii, 896 nucleotides. RefSeq lists it as uncharacterized. The record is from RefSeq and is a predicted model, not a curated record. Lineage: Eukaryota; Viridiplantae; Streptophyta; Magnoliopsida; Solanales; Solanaceae. The transcript has 2 exons.